GCAAGUCGAACGGUAGCACAGAGAGCUUGCUCUCGGGUGACGAGUGGCGGACGGGUGAGUAAUGUCUGGGAAACUGCCCGAUGGAGGGGGAUAACUACUGGAAACGGUAGCUAAUACCGCAUAACGUCUUCGGACCAAAGUGGGGGACCUUCGGGCCUCACACCAUCGGAUGUGCCCAGAUGGGAUUAGCUAGUAGGUGGGGUAAUGGCUCACCUAGGCGACGAUCCCUAGCUGGUCUGAGAGGAUGACCAGCCACACUGGAACUGAGACACGGUCCAGACUCCUACGGGAGGCAGCAGUGGGGAAUAUUGCACAAUGGGCGCAAGCCUGAUGCAGCCAUGCCGCGUGUAUGAAGAAGGCCUUCGGGUUGUAAAGUACUUUCAGCGGGGAGGAAGGCGAUACGGUUAAUAACCGUGUCGAUUGACGUUACCCGCAGAAGAAGCACCGGCUAACUCCGUGCCAGCAGCCGCGGUAAUACGGAGGGUGCAAGCGUUAAUCGGAAUUACUGGGCGUAAAGCGCACGCAGGCGGUCUGUCAAGUCAGAUGUGAAAUCCCCGGGCUUAACCUGGGAACUGCAUUUGAAACUGGCAGGCUUGAGUCUCGUACAGGGGG
Molecule: ribosomal RNA, 612 nt
Filed under: Erwinia billingiae
Lineage: Bacteria; Pseudomonadati; Pseudomonadota; Gammaproteobacteria; Enterobacterales; Erwiniaceae
Description: bacterial SSU rRNA
Rfam family: Bacterial small subunit ribosomal RNA
Source: RNAcentral